AAUACCCUAUUAUUUUAAAAGAAAUUUAUAGUACCUAAUUAGUAGUAGUUAAGGUCUUGAAAAUUAAAGAAUUUGGCGGUAUUUUAGUCUAUUCAGAGGAAUCUGUCCUAUAAUUGAUGAUCCACGAUUUUUUUUACCUAUUUUAAAAAUUUACAUAUCGCCGUAGUUUGAAUAUUUUUAAAAAAUAGUAAUGUUCAAAAAUUAUUUUUAUAAAAGAAAUCAGGUCAAGAUGUAGUUUAUAGAUAGGAAGAGAUGGAUUACAAUAGAAAUAUUUAUUAUGGAAUAAAAAAUGAAAAAUUUUUAUGAAAGUGGAUUUGAUAGUAAUUUUAUUUA
Molecule: ribosomal RNA, 333 nt
Filed under: Laparocerus undulatus
Lineage: Eukaryota; Metazoa; Arthropoda; Insecta; Coleoptera; Curculionidae
Description: partial 12S ribosomal RNA
Source: RNAcentral